RNAcentral lists this ribosomal RNA (433 nucleotides) under uncultured bacterium. RNAcentral's name for it is "partial 16S ribosomal RNA". It matches the Rfam family "Bacterial small subunit ribosomal RNA", at positions 29 to 507 of the family's 1533-position model. The record is from RNAcentral.
AACGAACGCUGGCGGCAUGCCUAACACAUGCAAGUCGAACGAGACCUUCGGGUCUAGUGGCGCACGGGUGCGUAACGCGUGGGAACCUGCCCUUAGGGUCGGAAUAACUCCCCGAAAGGGGUGCUAAUACCGGAUAAUGUCUUCGGACCAAAGAUUUAUCGCCUUUGGAUGGGCCCGCGUUGGAUUAGGUAGUUGGUAGGGUAAAAGCCUACCAAGGCGACGAUCCAUAGCUGGUCUGAGAGGAUGAUCAGCCACACUGGGACUGGGACACGGCCCAGACUCCUACGGGAGGCAGCAGUGGGGAAUAUUGGACAAUGGGCGAAAGGCUGAUCCAGCAAUGCCGCGUGAGUGAUGAAGGCCUUAGGGUUGUAAAGCUCUUUUACCCGGGAUGAUAAUGACAGUACCGGGAGAAUAAGCUCCGGCUAACUCCGUG